RNAcentral lists this ribosomal RNA (627 nucleotides) under Ciliophora sp. RNAcentral describes it as "SSU rRNA". It matches the Rfam family "Eukaryotic small subunit ribosomal RNA", at positions 341 to 980 of the family's 1831-position model. Lineage: Eukaryota; Ciliophora. The record is from RNAcentral.
CUACCAUGGCUUUUACGGGUAACGGAGAAUUAGGGUUCGAUUCCGGAGAGGGAGCCUGAGAAACGGCUACCACAUCUAAGGAAGGCAGCAGGCGCGUAAAUUACCCAAUCCUGAUUCAGGGAGGUAGUGACAAGAAAUAACGGACCGAGGCCCUCGGGCUCUCGGGAUUGCAAUGAGCCGAAUUUACACCCCUUAGCGAGGAUCCAUUGGAGGGCAAGUCUGGUGCCAGCAGCCGCGGUAAUUCCAGCUCCAAUAGCGUAUAUUAAAGUUGUUGCAGUUAAAAAGCUCGUAGUUGGAUUUCUGGGAGGGUGCCAAUGUCCGCUGACGUGCGUGUGCAGCGGCGCCCUCUCAUCCUUCUGUUAACGCCUCUUGGCAUUCAUUUGCUGGUGGCGGGCUCAGAUAUUUUACCUUGAGAAAAUUAGAGUGUUUCAGGCAGGCUAGGCCGGAAUACAUUAGCAUGGAAUAAUGGAAUAGGACUACGGUCUCUUUGUUGGUUUGAGGGACUGCAGUAAUGAUUAAUAGGGAUAGUUGGGGGCAUUAGUAUUUAAUUGUCAGAGGUGGAAUUCUCGGAUUUGUUAAAGACUAACUUAUGCGAAAGCAUUUGCCAAGGAUGUUUUCAUUAAUCAA